This 253-nucleotide ribosomal RNA is filed under the name uncultured bacterium. RNAcentral's name for it is "partial 16S ribosomal RNA". It matches the Rfam family "Bacterial small subunit ribosomal RNA", at positions 524 to 776 of the family's 1533-position model. The record is from RNAcentral.
UACGUAGGGACCAAGCGUUGUUCGGAUUUACUGGGCGUAAAGGGCGCGUAGGCGGCACUGUAAGUCACUUGUGAAAUCUCUGAGCUUAACUCAGAACGGCCAAGUGAUACUGCAGCGCUAGAGUGUGGAAGGGGCAAUCGGAAUUCUUGGUGUAGCGGUGAAAUGCGUAGAUAUCAAGAGGAACACCUGAGGUGAAGACGGGUUGCUGGGCCAACACUGACGCUGAGGCGCGAAAGCCAGGGGAGCAAACGGG